RNAcentral lists this ribosomal RNA (1639 nucleotides) under Salmonella enterica. RNAcentral's name for it is "partial 23S ribosomal RNA". It matches the Rfam family "Bacterial large subunit ribosomal RNA", at positions 1292 to 2909 of the family's 2925-position model. RNAcentral also lists the same sequence under 1 other name. Lineage: Bacteria; Pseudomonadati; Pseudomonadota; Gammaproteobacteria; Enterobacterales; Enterobacteriaceae. The record is from RNAcentral.
GAAUGCUGACAUAAGUAACGAUAAAGCGGGUGAAAAGCCCGCUCGCCGGAAGACCAAGGGUUCCUGUCCAACGUUAAUCGGGGCAGGGUGAGUCGACCCCUAAGGCGAGGCCGAAAGGCGUAGUCGAUGGGAAACGGGUUAAUAUUCCCGUACUUGGUGUUACUGCGAAGGGGGGACGGAGAAGGCUAUGUUGGCCGGGCGACGGUUGUCCCGGUUUAAGCGUGUAGGUGUGUGUUCCAGGUAAAUCCGGUUCACUUUAACACUGAGGCGUGACGACGAGGCACUACGGUGCUGAAGCAACAAAUGCCCUGCUUCCAGGAAAAGCCUCUAAGCAUCAGGUAACAUCAAAUCGUACCCCAAACCGACACAGGUGGUCAGGUAGAGAAUACCAAGGCGCUUGAGAGAACUCGGGUGAAGGAACUAGGCAAAAUGGUGCCGUAACUUCGGGAGAAGGCACGCUGACACGUAGGUGAAGUGAUUUACUCAUGGAGCUGAAGUCAGUCGAAGAUACCAGCUGGCUGCAACUGUUUAUUAAAAACACAGCACUGUGCAAACACGAAAGUGGACGUAUACGGUGUGACGCCUGCCCGGUGCCGGAAGGUUAAUUGAUGGGGUCAGCGCAAGCGAAGCUCCUGAUCGAAGCCCCGGUAAACGGCGGCCGUAACUAUAACGGUCCUAAGGUAGCGAAAUUCCUUGUCGGGUAAGUUCCGACCUGCACGAAUGGCGUAAUGAUGGCCAGGCUGUCUCCACCCGAGACUCAGUGAAAUUGAACUCGCUGUGAAGAUGCAGUGUACCCGCGGCAAGACGGAAAGACCCCGUGAACCUUUACUAUAGCUUGACACUGAACAUUGAGCCUUGAUGUGUAGGAUAGGUGGGAGGCUUUGAAGUGUGGACGCCAGUCUGCAUGGAGCCGACCUUGAAAUACCACCCUUUAAUGUUUGAUGUUCUAACGUGGACCCGUUACCCGGGUUGCGGACAGUGUCUGGUGGGUAGUUUGACUGGGGCGGUCUCCUCCUAAAGAGUAACGGAGGAGCACGAAGGUUGGCUAAUCCUGGUCGGACAUCAGGAGGUUAGUGCAAUGGCAUAAGCCAGCUUGACUGCGAGCGUGACGGCGCGAGCAGGUGCGAAAGCAGGUCAUAGUGAUCCGGUGGUUCUGAAUGGAAGGGCCAUCGCUCAACGGAUAAAAGGUACUCCGGGGAUAACAGGCUGAUACCGCCCAAGAGUUCAUAUCGACGGCGGUGUUUGGCACCUCGAUGUCGGCUCAUCACAUCCUGGGGCUGAAGUAGGUCCCAAGGGUAUGGCUGUUCGCCAUUUAAAGUGGUACGCGAGCUGGGUUUAGAACGUCGUGAGACAGUUCGGUCCCUAUCUGCCGUGGGCGCUGGAGAACUGAGGGGGGCUGCUCCUAGUACGAGAGGACCGGAGUGGACGCAUCACUGGUGUUCGGGUUGUCAUGCCAAUGGCACUGCCCGGUAGCUAAAUGCGGAAGAGAUAAGUGCUGAAAGCAUCUAAGCACGAAACUUGCCCCGAGAUGAGUUCUCCCUGAGACUUAAAGUCUCCUGAAGGAACGUUGAAGACGACGACGUUGAUAGGCCGGGUGUGUAAGCGCAGCGAUGCGUUGAGCUAACCGGUACUAAUGAAC